RNAcentral lists this ribosomal RNA (442 nucleotides) under uncultured bacterium. RNAcentral describes it as "partial 16S ribosomal RNA". It matches the Rfam family "Bacterial small subunit ribosomal RNA", at positions 338 to 795 of the family's 1533-position model. The record is from RNAcentral.
CCUACGGGUGGCAGCAGUGGGGAAUAUUGGGCAAUGGGCGCAAGUCUGACCCAGCAACGCCGCGUGAAGGAAGAAGGCUCUCGGGUUGUUAACUUUCUUUUAGAGGGAAGUGCAGAAGACGGUACCUCUUGAAUAAGCCACAGCUAACUAAGUGGCAGCAGCCGCGGUAAUACGUAGGGGGCAAGCGUUGUCCGGAUUUACUGGGUGUAAAGGGCGUGCAGCCGGGAAGACAAGUCAGAGGUGAAAUCCCGCGGCUCAACCGCGGAACUGCAUUUGAAACUGUUUUUCUUGAGUACCGGAGAGGUCAGCGGAAUUCCUUGUGUAGCGGUGAAAUGCGUAGAUAUAAGGAAGAACACCAGUGGCGAAGGCGGAUGACUGGACGGCAACUGACGGUGAGGCGCGAAAGCGUGGGGAGCAAACAGGAUUAGAUACCCUAGUAGUC